UGACAUGAGUGUGUUUUCCUCUCAGAAUGAGGGACUGGGGUCCUUUAUAAUGAACUCUGGACUCAUCCACGCCUCCAGUUUCAUCAACCACCACUAUAUCCUAAAGAUCAGAAAGACUUCAUAUACAGCUUGAGAUAUGGUCAGACUCACGUCAGCGCUCCAGUGCUGGUGACUGGUCGGGUCUGGACGCUCACUCAGCUCAAAGGAGGACGAGUCGUUGGUAAAAUCUCUUCUGCAGCACGAGAGAGCGUCUUGUCCAGACGGCAUUGCCAGCAGAUCUACAGGAACAAGAUCACAAGCAUGAACACCUCCACCAGUAAUUGAGGAAACCCCUACUUUCAUGCAUUUCCUGGGAAUCAAACUCGCGAUGCUGGUGUUCCAAGCACCAUGAUUUACCGUAUGAGCUACAGGAAUACUAUCCCGAUCUGAAAACCUGCUCAUCUGCUCAUGUGUCUUACAUCAAAGAAGAUCAGAC
Long non-coding RNA from Carassius gibelio (silver crucian carp), 475 nucleotides. RefSeq lists it as uncharacterized. The transcript is spliced from 3 exons. The record is from RefSeq and is a predicted model, not a curated record. Lineage: Eukaryota; Metazoa; Chordata; Actinopteri; Cypriniformes; Cyprinidae.